UACGUAGGUGGCAAGCGUUGUUCGGAAUUAUUGGGCGUAAAGGGCGCGUAGGCGGUUUGUUAAGUCAGCUGUGAAAGCCCGGGGCUCAACCCCGGAGGGUCAGCUGAUACUGGCAGGCUAGAGUACAGAAGAGGUAACUGGAAUUCCCGGUGUAGCGGUGAAAUGCGUUGAUAUUGGGAGGAACUCCGGUGGCGAAAGCGGCUCGCUGGGCCUCUUCUGACGCUGAGGCGCGAAAGCCAGGGGAGCAAACGGG
This 253-nucleotide ribosomal RNA is filed under the name uncultured bacterium. RNAcentral's name for it is "partial 16S ribosomal RNA". It matches the Rfam family "Bacterial small subunit ribosomal RNA", at positions 524 to 776 of the family's 1533-position model. The record is from RNAcentral.